Macaca fascicularis (crab-eating macaque) is the source of this 148-nucleotide unclassified non-coding RNA. It matches the Rfam family "Metazoan signal recognition particle RNA". Rfam says of the family: The signal recognition particle (SRP) is a universally conserved ribonucleoprotein. It is involved in the co-translational targeting of proteins to membranes. The record is from Ensembl. NCBI's taxonomy places the organism in Eukaryota, Metazoa, Chordata, Mammalia, Primates, Cercopithecidae.
GCUGGGCAUGGUGGUGCAUGCCUGUAAUCCCAGCUACUCUGGAGGCUGAGGCAGGAGAAUCACUUGAACUCGGGAGGUGGAGGUUGCAGUAAGCUGAGAUUGCACCACUACACUCUGGCCUGGGUGACACAGCGAGACUCUGCCUCAA